CAGCCGCCGCGGUAAUACGAAGGGGGCUAGCGUUGCUCGGAAUUACUGGGCGUAAAGGGAGCGUAGGCGGGUCGUUUAGUCAGAGGUGAAAUCCCGGGGCUCAACCUCGGAACUGCCUUUGAUACUGGCGACCUUGAGUAUGGGAGAGGUGAGUGGAACUCCGAGUGUAGAGGUGAAAUUCGUAGAUAUUCGGAAGAACACCAGUGGCGAAGGCGACUCACUGGCCCAUUACUGACGCUGAGGCUCGAAAGCGUGGGGAGCAAACAGGAUUAGAUACCCGCGUAGUCCCUGUCUCUUAUAC
This 301-nucleotide ribosomal RNA is filed under the name uncultured bacterium. Its description in RNAcentral is "partial 16S ribosomal RNA". It matches the Rfam family "Bacterial small subunit ribosomal RNA", at positions 509 to 807 of the family's 1533-position model. The record is from RNAcentral.